RNAcentral lists this transfer RNA (92 nucleotides) under Bacillota bacterium. RNAcentral describes it as "tRNA-Ser". It matches the Rfam family "tRNA". From Rfam's summary of the family: Transfer RNA (tRNA) molecules are approximately 80 nucleotides in length. The record is from RNAcentral. Lineage: Bacteria; Bacillati; Bacillota.
GGAGGAGUCGCGUAGCUGGCCUAGCGCACACGACUGGAAAUCGUGCCACCCCAAAAAGGGUGACGUGGGUUCGAAUCCCACCUCCUCCGCCA